AUUGAACGCUGGCGGCAGGCCUAACACAUGCAAGUCGAGCGGAUGAAGGGAGCUUGCUCCUGGAUUCAGCGGCGGACGGGUGAGUAAUGCCUAGGAAUCUGCCUGGUAGUGGGGGAUAACGUCCGGAAACGGGCGCUAAUACCGCAUACGUCCUGAGGGAGAAAGUGGUGGAUCUUCGGACCUCACGCUAUCAGAUGAGCCUAGGUCGGAUUAGCUAGUUGGUGGGGUAAAGGCCUACCAAGGCGACGAUCCGUAACUGGUCUGAGAGGAUGAUCAGUCACACUGGAACUGAGACACGGUCCAGACUCCUACGGGAGGCAGCAGUGGGGAAUAUUGGACAAUGGGCGAAAGACUGAUCCAGCCAUGCCGCGUGUGUGAAGAAGGUCUUCGGAUUGUAAAGCACUUUAAGUUGGGAGGAAGGGCAGUAAGUUAAUACCUUGCUGUUUUGACGUUACCAACAGAAUAAGCACCGGCUAACUUCGUG
Molecule: ribosomal RNA, 484 nt
Filed under: uncultured bacterium
Lineage: Bacteria
Description: partial 16S ribosomal RNA
Rfam family: Bacterial small subunit ribosomal RNA
Source: RNAcentral